ACAAACACACAGUUCAUAUUUACUAAAAUAUGAAUGAUACAGAGAUUAGUGUGGGCCCUGUGCUACGAUAACAUGCAAAUUUAUGAAUCAUUUCAUAGUUUU
This is a small nuclear RNA of Octopus sinensis (East Asian common octopus), 102 nucleotides long. Lineage: Eukaryota; Metazoa; Mollusca; Cephalopoda; Octopoda; Octopodidae. The record is from RefSeq and is a predicted model, not a curated record.